GAUGAACGCUGGCGGCGUGCCUAAUACAUGCAAGUCGAGCGAACGGACGAGAAGCUUGCUUCUCUGAUGUUAGCGGCGGACGGGUGAGUAACACGUGGAUAACCUACCUAUAAGACUGGGAUAACUUCGGGAAACCGGAGCUAAUACCGGAUAAUAUUUUGAACCGCAUGGUUCAAAAGUGAAAGACGGUCUUGCUGUCACUUAUAGAUGGAUCCGCGCUGCAUUAGCUAGUUGGUAAGGUAACGGCUUACCAAGGCAACGAUGCAUAGCCGACCUGAGAGGGUGAGCGAACACACUGUAACUGAUACACGGUCCAGACUCCUACGGGAGGCAGCAGUAGGGAAUCUUCCGCAAUGGGCGAAAGCCUGACGGAGCAACGCCGCUUGAGUGAUGAAGGUCUUCGGAUCGGACAACUCUGUUAUUAGGGAAGAACAUAUGUGUAAUUAACUGUGCACAUCUUGACGGUACCUAAUCAGAAAGCCACGGCUAACUACGUG
This 497-nucleotide ribosomal RNA is filed under the name uncultured bacterium. RNAcentral describes it as "partial 16S ribosomal RNA". It matches the Rfam family "Bacterial small subunit ribosomal RNA", at positions 28 to 507 of the family's 1533-position model. The record is from RNAcentral.